This 488-nucleotide long non-coding RNA is filed under the name Brassica napus (rape). RNAcentral's name for it is "long non-coding RNA (BNAP_LNC005262)". Lineage: Eukaryota; Viridiplantae; Streptophyta; Magnoliopsida; Brassicales; Brassicaceae. The record is from RNAcentral.
GGUUGAGUGUGGUUAUAUUGACACUGUAAAUUUGCAUAAUUCUCUGUUUCAUAUUCUUCUAGAACCACUUUUGUUUAAGGGCAUUGCCAACCAACUCUAUAUUUUAUUCCGAAAUAGAGUGGAGAAAGUAGUGAUGAAAAAAAAAUAAAAAUAGUCUAUUGAUGGAAUAAAACUUUUAUUUUUGUUUAUUACUCCAUUUUAGAAUCUAUUUUGGAGAAAAUAUAGAAUGGGGUUGAAGACGCUUUUAUGAUAUAAAAAAUAUCAGAUCUCUUUUCGAAAAGGUAAGUCUUCUGCUAAGUUGUUAUAUUAUAACAUUGUAUGAACGACCAUGUUUGAUAUUUCUAUAUCUUUAUAUUAACCGAAUCAUUACUUUCGUUAAAAAUUGUAUUCAACGAACAUGUUUGGGAUAUAGGUGAUACAAUUUUUCAUAAUAAAAUUGUACAAGCUUAAGCCAUGUUGCAUUUCUCUAAAGACUUUUCACCGUUCAA